This 253-nucleotide ribosomal RNA is filed under the name uncultured bacterium. RNAcentral's name for it is "partial 16S ribosomal RNA". It matches the Rfam family "Bacterial small subunit ribosomal RNA", at positions 524 to 776 of the family's 1533-position model. The record is from RNAcentral.
UACGAAGGGGGCUAGCGUUGUUCGGAGUUACUGGGCGUAAAGGGCGCGUAGGCGGCCUUCCAAGUCGGGUGUGAAAGCCCACGGCUCAACCGUGGAAUUGCACUCGAGACUGAAGGGCUCGAGGACGGGAGAGGAUGGUGGAAUUCCCAGUGUAGAGGUGAAAUUCGUAGAUAUCGGGAGGAACACCAGUGGCGAAGGCGGUUGCCUGGAGCUUUGCUGACGCUGAUGCGCGAAAGCGUGGGGAGCGAUCCGG